ACAAGGAUGCAAGUAAUGGUUGUAUCUCAGUUUUAUGCCUUUAUCCAUUGAGCGUACUAUGCAUUUAAGUUAUGUGUUUAUGUUAUCUGCCUAAGAACCUCUGCUGAAUUUUUUAUUAAAAAGAGCUUGGUAAAAUCGAAAUUGGAAAGAAACAAUCAUUAAUGCAUAUGCACAUUUUCUUGUAUCGGUGCUAUCAAGCUAAGAGGCACUCCCUUGCCUCAAUAGAAGCAGAACUAAUAGGUGUAGUUUUUGUCUUUUGAUAUCAAAUGACAGCACUAACAAUAUUUUAUUGUUAGUCAUAGGAGCUGGUAACACAUGAAUUUAGACUGGCCAUAACAUUUUCUCUUGCUGGCAUGGUGUUAUGGCUCAUAUGUUUAAAUUGAACGGCAUCAUUCUUUAUGUGGAUAUUCUGGUAUUGCAGCUUGAUUGAAAAAGGCAUGCUUAGCGAUCUUAAGAUGGCAAUGGCUGUAACGUACCAAAAGGUGCAAGCUUCGUCUGCACUGGGAAAGUAUAUUAAAGUUUCUACAAGAUUCAUUGACAGUGGAUGAAAUUGAAGAGGCUACUUGUUCCGCUUCGAUGCUCUCAUCAAGCCAGAGGAAUUUAUGCUCAUUUGUUUAUGUGAAAUUCAUUUAUCUUUGGGUGUCUUAGCCCUCACUGUCCAGUGGAACAGAUCCUGUUUGAAACUUCAUUAUGACAACAUUAACAUAGGAUGUGCCUAUCAAUGGUACUGUUCAUGCGCCGAUUGAACAGUUUAUGAGGCAGGUAAUGCAGUUUCUAGUUAAAUGGUGGAAGUUGGUGUGGAUUAAUUGCCAAGCCAUUUGAAUUAGGUUGAGUAUAUGAUUCUCAUUAAUAGUUAUCCUAUUAAUUUUGUCUCCUUUA
Molecule: long non-coding RNA, 879 nt
Organism: Neltuma alba
Lineage: Eukaryota; Viridiplantae; Streptophyta; Magnoliopsida; Fabales; Fabaceae
Exons: 2
Source: RefSeq, a predicted model, not a curated record